CACUGCUCAGCCCGUUAUGCUUGCUAAAUGUGUUUUUUAUUGCUCGAAAUCCAAUAAAUCCAAUAAGGUGAAGGAGGUUAAUGCAAACAGGGCAUGUGGGUGGGCAGCCAGCCCCAGUGCAGUGCCUGGAGGUGACCGUGUCUGCCCCAGGAGCUGGGCACACGGGGACUCCUUCUUUCCAUGGUUGGCUUCCAUUGGAGAUGGCUUUGAGUCUAAAUUGUGGUGUGCAAAAUGAAGCUUUACUUUGGAGAGAUUAAAUCUGAGAUGAUUUUAAGGAGUUUUCCUUCUGAGAAAAUCCAAUCUUCUGACAAUAAGCCCCACUUGAAGGAGCUCAGGCUGACAGCUGGAGUCAGUUGAGAGUUACAGGUGUGACUCAGAGGCCCCACAGCCGUUUGGGGGUUUUGUAGCCCUGGCAGCAGCAAGCUCCCAGCUUGCCCAUCUCUCUGCCCUUGCAGGGACAGAAUUCCAGGUGUAAUGGCCGUGAUGGCCACAGCCCACAGCUCUGGGCAGAUGCUUAGCUGGGACAAAUGCUUACACGGGUCCUCACUGAGCUGCCCAAAGCACAACUGGAAAUGUUGAGCAAAUCUUUUCUGUCGUGAUUUUGUUUCUGUCUCCUUGCAGGGGGUGCUGUGUGCCGUAUCGCGGUCCUCCGGCUGUGGUUCCAGCUCGGGGCCGCACCUAUGGAGGAGCACUUAGUGGUUGCCGGGGAAAGCUUUCAAUCUGCACCCCAACCAACCCCACAAAAAGUUAGUCGGGCAGAAGCACAGCCGGAGCUGCGAUGAUUGCGGAGAGGGGAGAGUGUGGAACCGCUGCGGUGCCUCCCAAAGCCCGGAGGCUGCCGGAAUCCCAUGUGCGCCGGCGAUGGCAAUCACGCCGCUGCUGACGCUCGCGUGCCGCUGCCGGGAGCCGCAGUCAGCCCGAGGGGAGCGGCGGCACCGGAGGGAGCGCUGCGAGGGAACUUUUGGCCGCGAGCCGACUCCGGGCAGCAGAGCGGAGAGCUGAGCUCUGCCAGCGGCUGCACGCUCCGCCAGGGCGAGGCGGCGGCUCGCGGCGAUCCCAACCCGGCUCAGCCCGCAGCAGCCCCGGGACGCGGAGCGGCAGCCCGGCACCAUGAACCAGACGGCGACGGUGUCCCACCACCAGGUGCAGUGCCACUCCUCCAGGGUCGCCAAGAUAACUGAUCAUUACUUUCUGACUGAAUUGUAUAUGUGAAGACCUUAUGCUACACCAGACCAGGUGAGAUUAUCUGAAAACGUAAAUAUUUCAGUACUUUUUCUACUACGUAGUGUAUGUAUGCACUAUAUAGUAGAAUUUCUUUAAAAACAGUAAUUAUGGUGAGCUUUCAAUUGCUUAAGCUUAGGUUCUCAUGUCUUCAAGGUUAAUGGAAAUUUUAGUGAAGGUGUUUUGCUACUUUCAUCUUUCCCUAUUGAACACACUUUGCUCAGUUGGCCUACCUUGUAGAAAACACAAAAU
This 1473-nucleotide long non-coding RNA is filed under the name Phasianus colchicus (ring-necked pheasant). Its description in RNAcentral is "lncRNA (ENSPCLG00000005628.1)". The record is from RNAcentral. Lineage: Eukaryota; Metazoa; Chordata; Aves; Galliformes; Phasianidae.